CUCGGUGGCGAUGGCACAGAGGACACACCCGUACCCAUACCGAACACGGAAGUUAAGCUCUGUAACGCUGAUGAUACUUGGCUGGUGACGGCCCGGGAAAGUAGGAAGCUGCCGGGG
Molecule: ribosomal RNA, 117 nt
Filed under: Oscillospiraceae bacterium
Lineage: Bacteria; Bacillati; Bacillota; Clostridia; Eubacteriales; Oscillospiraceae
Source: RNAcentral